This 718-nucleotide ribosomal RNA is filed under the name uncultured bacterium. RNAcentral describes it as "bacterial SSU rRNA". It matches the Rfam family "Bacterial small subunit ribosomal RNA", at positions 83 to 817 of the family's 1533-position model. The record is from RNAcentral.
GAACUUAGCUUAGUGGCGGACGGGUGAGUAACGCGUGAGUAACCUGCCUUUCAGAGGGGGAUAACGUUCUGAAAAGAACGCUAAUACCGCAUAAUAUAUUGGUGUCGCAUGGCACCGGUAUCAAAGGAGCAAUCCGCUGAAAGAUGGACUCGCGUCCGAUUAGCCAGUUGGCGGGGUAAAGGCCCACCAAAGCGACGAUCGGUAGCCGGGUUGAGAGACUGAACGGCCACAUUGGGACUGAGACACGGCCCAGACUCCUACGGGAGGCAGCAGUGGGGGAUAUUGCACAAUGGAGGAAACUCUGAUGCAGCAAUGCCGCGUGAGGGAAGACGGUCUUCGGAUUGUAAACCUCUGUCCUUGGUGAAGAUAAUGACGGUAGCCAAGGAGGAAGCUCCGGCUAACUACGUGCCAGCAGCCGCGGUAAUACGUAGGGAGCAAGCGUUGUCCGGAUUUACUGGGUGUAAAGGGUGCGUANGCGGCUCUUUAAGUCGGGCGUGAAAGCUGUGGGCUUAACCCACAAAUUGCGUUCGAAACUGGAGGGCUUGAGUGAAGUAGAGGUAGGCGGAAUUCCCGGUGUAGCGGUGAAAUGCGUAGAGAUCGGGAGGAACACCAGUGGCGAAGGCGGCCUACUGGGCUUUAACUGACGCUGAGGCACGAAAGCAUGGNUAGCAAACAGGAUUAGAUACCCUNNNAGUCCAUGCCGUAAACGAUGAUUACU